UGACAGCAUUGUGUUUUUGUUUUUUUCACUUUCACCUAUGUUUUCCUUCACCUUCCACUUAAGUUGCGAUAUUAGUAAACGCAAUGUUCGACCAAAAAUAAAUAUGUAUUACUUUCGUCGCUUGUCGGCGAUCCAAGUCCACUGCGUGGAGAAGCUUCCAAGGAAUUGUGUAAAGCAGAAAAACUGGAUUUCAAAGCUGGAUUUUCAAACGCGGAGACCGAUUCGUUCCUAUAUUGAAUUUACAUCGCCUCAUGAUUUUCUCGUAUCCACCGGUGACCUGAAUCGCAUGAACGCUCUGCUAACUGGCACUGCUCGUCCAACGUCUGCAUCAGCUUAUGGCAUCGGAAGGGAACGAAUAACUAGGAGGAUUCAACAAAGAUCUAUGCAUUACGGCUGCCUCGACGGCGGCUUUGCGUCAAGAAACUACAACCGCAGAACAUACUGCCGAUACUACCUGGUCAAUUUUUCAGCCAAAUUCGCAUUGGUCAUCGAGACGAGCUGCUUUUACGGAUUCCAGAUUGCAAUGGCAUAGUGAGAUGUUUUCAUUAAUACCUAUUCGUGAGAAAGGCUUCAAAAUUCAUCAACAUCUCCACCACCACCUCGAGCAGAAAAACAGAAGAAUCUCGGAGUUUUGACGGACUUGCAGAUCUUGCUGCAGGAAUAUCCUCAUAUCCUACAUUGACGGAAGAACAGAAGCAGCAUCAAACAAAAUCCCUCCAGUUUAAAGGACUACUAUGGCGUUGUCAUCAACGUCCGCAACCAUUUGAGGUCAUGUUAGAGGUGCCAGAACCUGUCGAAACAAUACCAUCUUGACAAGAGAACAGCAAAACAAAAUAAAAAUAUUUUAUUGUCUUGAAAUCCGCGUCGGCAAGUCCCUCUGUGUGUUGGCGAAUAGACCCUGUCGCAGAGAGGUCAAUUUGGGCAUCAUCAUUCUUGAUACCAGUCGUGCAGAGGGAAGCAGGCGCGAAGUCGACCCUUCCCACCUUCCGAGGACAUAGGGCGUGGUAAGGCCACCUGGAAAGCCGGCAAUGCGCUGGCACGAUACCAUGGUGUUUUUCUAAAAAAAAGUGAGAAGCUGCCGAACUAUUGCUUGCCUGUCCCAUGAAAUGAUUCCGUCACCGAUUACUACAGAGUGUCAGCUUACCCGAUUCCACCCACACUAGCUCACUGCCCACCCACUAGAACUGCUGGUUUGCAUCUAUAUAAAAUAAAUAACAUGAAGCGCUCGUAGGUACUCUGAAUCCUAAGAUCUCGAGAAAUUCUAAGUGUGAUGCUAGAAUGCUCUGUGGAAGCAGCCCUGGGACAAGUGUAGAAUGUUUGAUCUGCUGCUGGUGUUCCUAAGACAGAUGACAAAAGCUAAAUUCUUCUGACGACAUUUUCUGAAACAAGACAUUGAUCCUGAGAUCGUAAAAGUUUUUCCUUGGAAUUCAUAAACUGCAAUCGAAAAUGCAAUAAUUGCUUCACACGGGACAUGCGAAAAAGUUUGGUGCCGAUUAUGCACACUUCAGCUAUCGAUCGAAUGUUUCACUUGAAAGAAGUAGAAAACGCCCAACGCAUUCUUCGCUUUCAUGAGGGAAUGCUUGUCCUGAAGAGUAUGCUGUCCGUCUGGUGGAUAUUAUAGAUGCAGUGCGUUAUUGUGACCAACCUCAAAGUCUAGCUCAUUCGAUUAACCAGUGGGAUCCUGAAUGGACCUAACAACAUGCAACCUAACAAAGACGGUGGCAAUCCACAUCUGACUGGCCUAAAUUCUAGCAAACCAUUGCAAAGCUAUCUUAAUCAGGCUGUCCAUGGGGCCCCGGUACAUUCGAUCAGGGAGGUCCAAAUAGUGGAGUGGACUGUGAUAGUGCUGGCUUUUCGAGUAGUGGUGUAGAUGGUCAGUACUCAUCAUUGAACCCAGGAGCUGCGUACCUAAUAAAAUAAAAAGGUUUGCGUUCAAGUUAAUAAUUAUGAUUAUAUUUGAUAGUGUUUCAAAUUAUUGAUACAUUUAUAGGCUAUAUCUGAAGCGUUGUAAAUUUAUUAAAUUUUUGUUUUUGCUUUUGUCCGGGACAAUGCCUUUAUAUCGGCUACAGUUUAACCCUUUAUAAGGCAGACGAAUCUAAACAAUAAAUUAACGAAAACAGCAAUAGGACACAAUGUUGACAUGGUAUUAAACUCAAAUGUAUGCUUGUUAUACAUUAAACAAUUCAGAAACAUUGAAAAAUGGGUGGCAAUAUAGUUGCCAUUGCCCGUCAAGCGGGACAACAUUGGUGGCAAUAUAGUUGCCACUGCCCGGCAAGCGGGAAAACAGGCAACAACAAAAAUAAAUAAAAGAUUUUUAAAAAUUAGAUUUUACGUAAAACAAGUCAAAUCAAGGCACGUUACAUUUUUUGGCGAAGAGUCCUAGUCGGAAAACGCAUUAUAAAUGAAAACUUUUUUUUUGCGCUUUCGUUCCCAAGGGGGACCGUCGAUUUCGUCAAAAAUCCAAAAACCAAAUAUACAGAAAGGCAAAGCUUUUUUCACGCUAACCGUGCAAUAAUCUAACACAGGAGAUUCAAAAUAAUUAAUAAUAACGGGAAAAAAUAUA
Molecule: long non-coding RNA, 2563 nt
Organism: Armigeres subalbatus
Lineage: Eukaryota; Metazoa; Arthropoda; Insecta; Diptera; Culicidae
Exons: 5
Source: RefSeq, a predicted model, not a curated record